Molecule: ribosomal RNA, 276 nt
Filed under: uncultured bacterium
Lineage: Bacteria
Description: partial 16S ribosomal RNA
Rfam family: Bacterial small subunit ribosomal RNA
Source: RNAcentral
UCCUACGGGGCGCAGCAGUGAGGAAUAUUGGUCAAUGGUCGGGAGACUGAACCAGCCAAGCCGCGUGAGUGAAGAAGUAUUUCGGUAUGUAAAGCUCUAUCAGCAGGGAAGAAAAAAGACGGUACCUGACUAAGAAGCCCCGGCUAACUACGUGCCAGCAGCCGCGGUAAUACGAGGGGGGCAAGCGUUAUCCGGAUUUACUGGGUGUAAAGGGAGCGUAGACGGUGCGUCAAGUCUGAAGUGAAAGCCCGGGGCUUAACCCCGCGACUGCUUUGG